Trachemys scripta elegans is the source of this 2717-nucleotide long non-coding RNA. RefSeq lists it as uncharacterized. The record is from RefSeq and is a predicted model, not a curated record. Lineage: Eukaryota; Metazoa; Chordata; Testudines; Emydidae. The transcript is spliced from 3 exons.
GGUUACAAGCAAACAAAAGCAUCUGGGGUUAGCAUAGAGGAGUCCAUAAGCCAAUAAGAAAUAAAAGAAAUAACCCUAAUCACAGCUUUUUAGACAUUCCCUAAUUUUACUUACAUAUCUGAGGCUUCGGAUAAGUAGGUUCGAGGUAUGAAUUGAUAAUCUAUAAUCAUACCUGCUUAAAGAUGCUUACAGCAUUGCUGCUCCGUGUCCCUGCAGCCCAGAGAACAACCGAUAAAGGGAAAGUUUCUGUCCCAAUUUUAAAAAGUUCUACUUUCCCAUUGGCUCUUUUGGUCAGGUGCCCAUUCCUUUCCUUUUACCUGUGGGCUUGUUAACCCUUUACAGGUAAAGCAAGCAGAGAACAGACACCAAGAGGGAUUUUACAGCUAACUGGCUGGCUGAGUGUCCAUAAGGGAGCUAUCCCCUCUCCCCUCUUCAGUUAUCACACCUUAUGGACAGCCAGCCAGCCAGUUAUCACAGCCCCUUUAAAAGAAAUUAGCUUUCAGCAGCAAGGCUGUAAUGGCCUCUUUGGGUCGCUGGUGAUGUCCCAGGCCACUCACACUCUGCUCCUUGGCAAAAUAAUUUCCCUCAUCCUUUAUCUGUACAGAGGGGACCUUCCACCUGCACACCUGCUCCCUCCCAUACAGAAAGGGCAGUCGCAGCCACCGCUGUAGCAGUGUAUCCCCAGAUCCUGUGGAGGUUUCGUCUGGAGAACAAGGUGGAAGCUGGAUGGGGACAGGAGGAAUUUGGCAAGGGCUUUUCUCAGGGAGAUUUCCUCUCCCACCAGAGCCCUGGGAAGGGUGAUUGGCCCAUGGUUUGUAAUGCUACUGGUAACAGCAAAGGGACAUAAUAAUCUUGUAAUUCACAGUUGCCUCCAGGUCUCUCUAUAAAUAGCUCUUAUGAUUAACUUUUAGUUCCCUAGACAUUUGUUAAUAGAGGUAUUUAAUUUCAGCCCCUGUAGGACAUGUCACAAUGGGAUCUCUGCACAGGGAGAGCUCACCUUCUCACCAGCCCGUGGGAGCAGCCACUCAGAGUAAUAGGAGUGCUUCAUAUGGCUGGGGACCUGAGUGCAUUGUUGGCUGGUAACGAGCUAAUACUUUAUGCACUCUUUGAAAGCUUAUGAAUCCCCAGCUUGGUGCACACCAAUGCAUUAUUGCAUAUCAUCUUCUGUACAUAACAUAGGGAGAGCUUGAGCCACUUGGGGGCAUGUUACUUCCAUAGGUACUGAUGCAUUCUGGAAAGUGUCUAGAGAAGAGCUACUAAAGUCAUGCUGGAGGGGACUCAGGGUACUAGGCUAAAGCUCUUAAAGCCCCAAUCCUGCAAUGAGUUCUCUGCAGACAGACUCCCUGCACCUGUGUGGGUACAGAGAGUCUGAAUGCACAGAUCACAUUGCAAGAUAAGGGCCCAAGUCUCUUCUGGUUGGAGAAGAAGAGUCUGUGGCAAGGAGUGGAGCUUACUUCCAAGUAUAACUGCCCAAAUGGAAGACAUGUUGUGAUCGGCGCAAUCUAUAUGAGGGCCGAAGAACCAAGCAAUCAAGGUGAACUGCCCAAAACAGGCCUUACAAAGACAUAGGCUUUAAUUAAGCAACAACAGGAAAAUGCUUGAACGCUCUGAGACAGGUAACUUUGUAAAAUACCCUCUAAUGACUGUACACCAAUACUGCCUAUGCCACACACCAGUGGUGCCUUGCUGAACCAUUUCAAAGGAAGGCUAAGCUGACUCACAGCACAGCUCACAGUAUUCACUCAUUUCACUACAGCCCCAGGGGUGCAGCCCAUCUGCAUUUCCAAAUCCAGGAUUGAGACUGAAUUUUUUUGGGAGGGGGGGAUUUUGCAUUGAAAUAGAGUCUGCUUUUAUUCUUGCAAACAGAAUGCACUGGAUGUGGUUUUUCAGCACGACUGGCCAUUUCAAGACAUGGCUUGGGACUGUUGUUCAUUUUUCCAAAGUAGUUGGCAUUUUAUAUGUGAACCAAUUCAUGUAUUGAAAAGCACGUGUUUUUCUCUCCCCUGCAGAAUGGAAAUAGGUUUUACUACAGAAGGUGGGCUGGUGUUCUGAAGUGUUCCUUAAGACACAAUCAACAUUCUAACACUCGGCUAUAUCAGGUUUUAAGGAGAAUAAUGAAUAACUGGCUGUAAAAAGUCUCUCUGCGCUGACACUCAGCAAACCAAGGGGUCCAGUCCAAAGAACAUUUUUGUACAAAAUUUGGGGUGGGGGAACUUGGCUGCUUUUUAUUUUUAAUCAAAGAAGUGCUCAACAUGGAAGCACUUUCUUGUUUUACUGCGUGGCUUGGGAUUUAUUGUUUGCUUUGACUUAAUAAUCAGCAAGAGAUCAGUCUAUGGUGCAAGUUCAAUGAUUUGAAAAAAUAUUAACAUCUAAAAGUCAAGUGCCACACACAGACAAUUUUAUGUAUUUGGUUUCUACUGCAUUGUCUUCUGUGCAAUGGAAAGGAGUGAUUCUCAGGCACAUAAGGCACUAUGGACAAUAUGGCCCAUGGGCAUUAACCAGUCGAGCUGUUGCAGUGUAGAGAGAUUUUAUGCUUUUUUAAAGAAAAACUUUCUUGUACUUCUUAAAGUAGUUUUUAAAAAUAAAUAAAUAAAUAAUGAGGUUGUAAAAGAACCCAGCAAAGACUUAAAUGUUGGACUGAAGUCCUUGUCUUUUUAUAAAUUGUUCAUACAUUUCUAAGGUUUCAGAGUAACAGCCGUGUUAGUCUGUAUCCGCAA